GAAUAAUCAGCUUCAGUAUACAUCCGGUGGAAGGAAUACUCUAAUAAAUGAUUGUCCAAACUCUGCUGUGCCGAUAUCUGGCUGCUUACCUGAAACGAUCCGAUGUGUAAGAUAGCAAAAAUUGCAGUUUCUAUUCUUUUUAGAAGGACAACUAGCUAGCUGACACUUCCAGACAAGGAAAUGUGUCAUUUUCUGAUUUCGCCUUGAAUGCCUAGUGAAGUAAACUUGUUGGGGUGCAUAGGCGUUUUUG
This 250-nucleotide unclassified non-coding RNA is filed under the name Hevea brasiliensis (rubber tree). Lineage: Eukaryota; Viridiplantae; Streptophyta; Magnoliopsida; Malpighiales; Euphorbiaceae. The record is from RNAcentral.